Molecule: ribosomal RNA, 483 nt
Filed under: uncultured bacterium
Lineage: Bacteria
Description: bacterial SSU rRNA
Rfam family: Bacterial small subunit ribosomal RNA
Source: RNAcentral
UUGAACGCUGGCGGCAUGCCUUACACAUGCAAGUCGAACGGCAGCACGGGAGCAAUCCUGGUGGCGAGUGGCGAACGGGUGAGUAAUAUAUCGGAACGUGCCCAGUCGUGGGGGAUAACGUAGCGAAAGCUACGCUAAUACCGCAUACGAUCUAUGGAUGAAAGCGGGGGAUCGCAAGACCUCGCGCGAUUGGAGCGGCCGAUAUCAGAUUAGGUAGUUGGUGAGGUAAAGGCGCACCAAGGCGACGAUCCUUAGCUGGUCUGAGAGGAUGAUCAGCCACACUGGGACUGAGACACGGCCCAGACUCCUACGGGAGGCAGCAGUGGGGAAUUUUGGACAAUGGGCGCAAGCCUGAUCCAGCAAUGCCGCGUGCAGGAUGAAGGCCUUCGGGUUGUAAACUGCUUUUGUACGGAACGAAACGGUGAGCUCUAAUACAGUUUGCUAAUGACGGUACCGUAAGAAUAAGCACCGGCUAACUACGUG